AAUAAGUUUAUUUUUUUAGUUUUUGGAUAUAAUGUUUUGACUCUUUCAUCUUAUUUAAUUUUUUUGUUAUUAAUAUUUUUAUUGUUACUAGAUGAUAAAACAUGAAUAGUACUUUAUGUGUGACUAAUUUGUUUUAAGUUUUUAUACAAAUUUUUUAAAUAAGACGAAUGGUCAAACGUUGGACACAGAAAAUUGAAAAAUAAACUUAUU
RNAcentral lists this microRNA precursor (210 nucleotides) under Oryza brachyantha (malo sina). RNAcentral describes it as "MIR812 microRNA precursor family". It matches the Rfam family "MIR812 microRNA precursor family". The record is from Rfam by way of RNAcentral. Lineage: Eukaryota; Viridiplantae; Streptophyta; Magnoliopsida; Poales; Poaceae.